AUUGAACGCUGGCGGCGUGCCUAAUACAUGCAAGUCGAACGAAGCUUUUUUAACUGGUGCUUGCACCGACUUAAACAACUGAGUGGCGAACGGGUGAGUAACACGUGGGUAACCUGCCCCAAAGCGGGGGAUAACAUUUGGAAACAGAUGCUAAUACCGCAUAACCACAGAAACCACAUGGUUUCUGUGUCAAAGAUGGUUUCGGCUGUCACUUUGGGAUGGACCCGCGGCGUAUUAGCUAGUUGGUAAGGUAAUGGCUUACCAAGGCAAUGAUACGUAGCCGAACUGGGAGGUUGAUCGGCCACAUUGGGACUGAGACACGGCCCAAACUCCUACGGGAGGCAGCAGUAGGGAAUCUUCCACAAUGGACGAAAGUCUGAUGGAGCAACGCCGCGUGAGUGAAGAAGGUUUUCGGAUCGUAAAACUCUGUUGUCAGAGAAGAACGUGUGCGAGAGUAACUGUUCGUGCAGUGACGGUAUCUGGCCAGAAAGCCACGGCUAACUACGUGCCAGCCGCCGCCGUAA
This 524-nucleotide ribosomal RNA is filed under the name uncultured bacterium. Its description in RNAcentral is "partial 16S ribosomal RNA". It matches the Rfam family "Bacterial small subunit ribosomal RNA", at positions 30 to 523 of the family's 1533-position model. The record is from RNAcentral.